RNAcentral lists this ribosomal RNA (253 nucleotides) under uncultured bacterium. Its description in RNAcentral is "partial 16S ribosomal RNA". It matches the Rfam family "Bacterial small subunit ribosomal RNA", at positions 524 to 776 of the family's 1533-position model. The record is from RNAcentral.
UACAGAGGGGGCAAGCGUUAUUCGGAAUUAUUGGGCGUAAAGGGCGCGUAGGCGGCCAUUCAAGUGACGGGUGAAAGCCCUCGGCUUAACCGAGGAACUGCCUGUCAGACUGGAUGGCUUGAGACCGGGAGAGGUGAGUGGAAUUCCCAGUGUAGCGGUGAAAUGCGUAGAUAUCUGGAGGAACACCGGUGGCGAAGGCGGCGUCCUGGACCAACACUGACACUGAGGAGCGAAAGCCAGGGGAGCAAACGGG